RNA transcript from Cebus imitator (Panamanian white-faced capuchin), 9926 nucleotides. It is a transcript of the gene named fibrillin 1, with no coding region annotated. The transcript is spliced from 67 exons. NCBI's taxonomy places the organism in Eukaryota, Metazoa, Chordata, Mammalia, Primates, Cebidae. The record is from RefSeq and is a predicted model, not a curated record.
CGCGGGAGCUGCGGCAGAGACUGUGGGUGCCACAAGCGGACAGGCGGCCACAGCUGGGACAGCUGCGAGCGGAGCGGUGGCUGUAGCGGCCAGGACCGGGAGCAGUCGCCGCCGCCUCCUCGGGAGUCGGAGUCGCCGCUUCUCCACUGGCAGGGGCCGCCUGAAGUGGGAGCAGCGCCUGGAGAAGGCGGGAGGAGCCCGGCCUGGGGGACUGGCGGCAGGAGAGCGGGACCCCGGCUGCGCGGUGCGCUUCAGGGCGCAGCGGCGGCCGCAGACCUAGCCCUGGGCGCAGCAGGAGGCGGCGGGAGCCGGCGGCGGCUCGGCAUCAUGCGGCGAGGGGGCCUGCUGGAGAUCGUCCUGGGAUUUACCGUGCUUUUAGCGUCCUACACGAGCCACGGGGCGGACGCCAAUUUGGAGGCUGGGAACGUGAAGGAAACCAGAGCCAGUCGGGCCAAGAGAAGAGGAGGCGGAGGACACGACGCACUUAAAGGACCCAAUGUCUGUGGAUCACGUUAUAAUGCCUACUGUUGCCCUGGUUGGAAAACCUUACCUGGUGGAAAUCAGUGUAUUGUCCCCAUUUGCCGGCAUUCCUGUGGGGAUGGAUUUUGUUCGAGGCCAAAUAUGUGCACUUGCCCAUCUGGUCAGAUAGCUCCUUCCUGUGGCUCCAGAUCCAUACAACACUGCAGCAUUCGCUGUUUGAAUGGAGGUAGCUGCAGUGACGAUCACUGUCUGUGCCAGAAAGGAUACAUAGGGACUCACUGCGGACAACCUGUUUGUGAAAGUGGCUGUCUCAAUGGAGGAAGGUGUGUGGCCCCAAAUCGAUGUGCAUGCACUUACGGCUUUACAGGACCCCAGUGUGAAAGAGAUUACAGGACAGGCCCAUGUUUUACUGUGGUCAGCAACCAGAUGUGCCAGGGACAACUCAGCGGGAUUGUCUGCACAAAAACGCUCUGCUGUGCCACAGUCGGCCGAGCCUGGGGCCACCCCUGUGAGAUGUGUCCUGCCCAGCCUCACCCCUGCCGCCGUGGCUUUAUUCCAAAUAUCCGCACGGGAGCUUGUCAAGAUGUGGAUGAAUGCCAGGCCAUCCCCGGGCUCUGUCAAGGAGGAAAUUGCAUUAAUACUGUUGGGUCUUUUGAGUGCAAAUGCCCUGCUGGACACAAAUUUAAUGAAGUGUCACAAAAAUGUGAAGAUAUUGAUGAAUGCAGCACAAUUCCUGGAAUCUGUGAUGGGGGCGAAUGUACAAACACAGUCAGCAGUUACUUUUGCAAAUGUCCCCCUGGUUUUUACACCUCUCCAGAUGGUACCAGAUGCAUAGAUGUUCGCCCAGGAUACUGUUACACAGCUCUGGCAAAUGGGCGCUGCUCUAACCAGCUGCCACAGUCCAUAACCAAGAUGCAGUGCUGCUGCGAUGCCGGCAGAUGCUGGUCUCCAGGGGUCACUGUCGCCCCUGAGAUGUGUCCUAUCAGAGCAACCGAGGAUUUCAACAAGCUGUGCUCUGUUCCUAUGGUUAUUCCUGGGAGACCAGAAUAUCCUCCCCCACCCCUUGGCCCCAUUCCUCCAGUUCUCCCUGUUCCUCCUGGCUUUCCUUCUGGACCUCAAAUUCCGGUCCCUCGACCACCAGUGGAAUAUCCGUAUCCAUCUCGGGAACCACCAAGGGUGCUGCCAGUCAACGUCACUGAUUACUGCCAGUUGGUCCGUUAUCUCUGUCAAAAUGGACGCUGCAUUCCAACUCCUGGGAGUUACCGGUGUGAGUGCAACAAAGGCUUCCAGCUGGACCUCCGUGGAGAGUGUAUUGAUGUUGAUGAAUGUGAGAAAAACCCCUGUGCUGGUGGUGAGUGUAUUAACAACCAGGGUUCGUAUACCUGUCAGUGCCGAGCUGGAUAUCAGAGCACACUCACCCGGACAGAAUGCCGAGACAUUGAUGAAUGUUUACAGAAUGGCCGGAUCUGCAAUAAUGGACGCUGCAUCAACACGGAUGGCAGUUUUCAUUGCGUGUGUAAUGCGGGCUUUCACGUUACACGAGAUGGGAAGAACUGUGAAGAUAUGGAUGAAUGCAGCAUAAGGAACAUGUGCCUUAAUGGAAUGUGUAUCAAUGAAGAUGGCAGUUUUAAAUGUAUUUGCAAACCUGGAUUCCAGCUGGCAUCAGAUGGACGUUAUUGCAAAGACAUUAACGAGUGCGAAACCCCUGGGAUCUGCAUGAAUGGGCGUUGUGUCAACACUGACGGCUCCUACAGAUGUGAAUGCUUCCCGGGACUGGCUGUGGGUCUGGAUGGACGUGUGUGUGUUGACACACACAUGCGGAGCACAUGCUAUGGUGGAUACAAAAGAGGCCAGUGUAUCAAACCUUUGUUUGGUGCUGUCACUAAAUCUGAAUGCUGUUGUGCCAGCACUGAGUAUGCCUUUGGGGAACCUUGCCAGCCGUGUCCUGCACAGAAUUCAGCGGAAUAUCAGGCACUCUGCAGCAGUGGGCCGGGGAUGACGUCUGCAGGCAGUGAUAUAAAUGAAUGUGCACUAGAUCCUGAUAUUUGCCCAAAUGGAAUCUGUGAAAACCUUCGUGGAACCUAUAAAUGCAUAUGCAAUUCAGGAUAUGAAGUGGAUUCAACUGGGAAAAACUGUGUUGAUAUUAAUGAAUGUGUACUGAACAGUCUCCUUUGUGACAAUGGACAGUGUAGAAAUACUCCUGGAAGUUUUGUCUGUACCUGCCCCAAGGGAUUUAUCUACAAACCUGACCUAAAAACAUGUGAAGACAUUGAUGAAUGCGAAUCAAGUCCUUGCAUUAAUGGAGUCUGCAAGAACAGCCCAGGCUCUUUUAUUUGUGAAUGUUCUUCUGAAAGUACUUUGGAUCCAACAAAAACCAUCUGCAUAGAAACCAUCAAGGGCACUUGCUGGCAGACUGUCACCAUUGAUGGGCGGUGUGAGAUCAACAUCAAUGGAGCCACCUUAAAGUCCCAGUGCUGCUCCUCCCUCGGUGCUGCAUGGGGGAGUCCGUGCACCCCAUGCCAAGUUGAUCCCAUAUGUGGUAAAGGGUACUCAAGAAUUAAAGGAACACAAUGUGAAGAUAUUGAUGAAUGUGAAGUAUUCCCAGGAGUGUGCAAAAAUGGCCUGUGUGUUAACACUAGGGGGUCAUUCAAGUGUGAGUGUCCCAAUGGAAUGACUCUGGAUGCCACAGGAAGGAUCUGUCUGGACAUCCGCCUGGAAACCUGCUACCUGAGGUAUGAGGACGAGGAGUGCACCCUGCCUAUUGCUGGCCGCCACCGCAUGGACGCCUGCUGCUGCUCUGUCGGGGCAGCCUGGGGUACUGAGGAAUGCGAGGAGUGUCCCAUGAGAAAUACUCCUGAGUAUGAGGAGCUGUGUCCCAGAGGACCCGGAUUUGCCACAAAAGAAAUUACAAAUGGAAAACCUUUCUUCAAAGAUAUCAAUGAGUGCAAGAUGAUACCCAGCCUCUGCACCCACGGCAAGUGCAGAAACACCAUCGGCAGCUUUAAAUGCAGGUGUGACAGUGGCUUUGCUCUUGAUUCUGAAGAAAGGAACUGCACAGACAUUGACGAAUGCCGCAUAUCUCCUGACCUCUGUGGCAGAGGCCAGUGUGUGAACACCCCUGGGGACUUUGAAUGCAAAUGUGACGAAGGCUAUGAAAGUGGAUUCAUGAUGAUGAAGAACUGCAUGGAUAUCGAUGAGUGUCAGAGAGAUCCUCUCCUAUGCCGAGGUGGUGUGUGCCACAAUACAGAGGGAAGUUACCGCUGUGAAUGUCCGCCUGGCCAUCAGCUGUCCCCCAACAUCUCUGCAUGUAUCGACAUCAAUGAGUGUGAGCUGAGUGCACACCUGUGCCCCAAUGGCCGCUGUGUGAAUCUCAUAGGGAAGUAUCAGUGUACCUGCAACCCUGGCUACCAUUCAACUCCUGAUAGGCUAUUUUGUGUUGACAUUGAUGAAUGCAGCAUAAUGAACGGUGGUUGUGAAACCUUCUGCACAAACUCUGAAGGCAGCUAUGAAUGUAGCUGUCAGCCGGGUUUUGCGCUAAUGCCUGACCAGAGAUCGUGCACCGACAUCGAUGAGUGUGAAGAUAAUCCCAAUAUCUGUGAUGGUGGUCAGUGUACAAAUAUCCCUGGAGAGUACAGGUGCUUGUGUUAUGAUGGAUUCAUGGCAUCUGAAGACAUGAAGACUUGUGUAGAUGUCAAUGAGUGUGACCUGAAUCCAAAUAUCUGCCUAAGUGGAACCUGUGAAAACACAAAAGGCUCAUUUAUCUGCCACUGUGAUAUGGGCUACUCUGGCAAGAAAGGAAAAACUGGCUGUACAGACAUCAAUGAAUGUGAAAUUGGAGCACACAACUGUGGCAGACAUGCUGUAUGUACCAACACAGCAGGAAGCUUCAAAUGUAGCUGCAGUCCUGGGUGGAUUGGAGAUGGCAUUAAGUGCUCUGAUCUGGAUGAAUGUUCCAAUGGAACUCACAUGUGCAGCCAGCAUGCAGACUGCAAGAAUACCAUGGGAUCUUACCGCUGUCUGUGCAAGGAAGGAUACACGGGCGAUGGCUUCACUUGUACAGACCUUGAUGAGUGCUCCGAGAAUCUGAAUCUCUGUGGCAAUGGCCAGUGCCUCAAUGUCCCAGGAGGAUACCGCUGUGAAUGCGACAUGGGCUUCGUGCCCAGUGCUGACGGGAAAGCCUGUGAAGAUAUCGAUGAGUGCUCCCUUCCGAACAUCUGUGUCUUUGGAACCUGCCACAACCUCCCUGGCCUGUUCCGCUGUGAGUGUGAGAUAGGCUAUGAACUGGACAGGAGCGGCGGGAACUGCACAGAUGUUAAUGAAUGCCUGGAUCCAACCACGUGCAUCAGUGGGAACUGUAUCAACACUCCAGGCAGCUAUACCUGUGACUGCCCACCUGAUUUUGAGCUGAAUCCAACUCGAGUUGGCUGUGUGGAUACCCGCUCUGGAAAUUGCUAUUUGGAUAUUCGACCUCGAGGAGACAAUGGAGAUACAGCCUGCAGCAAUGAAAUUGGAGUUGGGGUUUCCAAAGCUUCCUGCUGCUGUUCUCUGGGUAAAGCCUGGGGUACUCCUUGUGAGAUGUGCCCCGCUGUGAACACAUCUGAGUACAAAAUUCUUUGUCCUGGAGGGGAAGGUUUUCGACCAAAUCCUAUCACAGUUAUAUUGGAAGAUAUUGAUGAGUGCCAGGAGCUACCAGGGCUGUGCCAAGGGGGGAAAUGUAUCAACACCUUCGGGAGUUUCCAGUGCCGCUGUCCAACCGGCUACUACCUGAAUGAAGAUACACGAGUGUGUGAUGAUGUGAAUGAAUGUGAGACUCCUGGAAUCUGUGGUCCAGGGACAUGUUACAACACCGUUGGCAACUACACCUGUAUUUGUCCUCCAGAUUACAUGCAAGUGAAUGGGGGAAAUAAUUGCAUGGAUAUGAGAAGGAGUUUGUGCUACAGAAACUACUAUGCUGACAACCAGACCUGUGAUGGAGAACUGUUAUUCAACAUGACCAAGAAGAUGUGCUGUUGUUCCUACAACAUUGGCCGGGCCUGGAAUAAGCCCUGUGAGCAGUGUCCCAUCCCAAGUACAGAUGAAUUUGCUACACUAUGUGGAAGUCAAAGGCCAGGCUUUGUCAUCGACAUUUAUACCGGUUUACCUGUUGAUAUUGAUGAGUGCCGGGAGAUCCCAGGGGUCUGUGAAAAUGGAGUUUGUAUCAACAUGGUUGGCAGCUUCCGAUGUGAAUGUCCAGUGGGAUUCUUCUACAAUGACAAGUUGUUGGUCUGUGAAGAUAUUGAUGAGUGUCAGAACGGCCCAGUGUGCCAGCGCAAUGCCGAAUGCAUCAACACUGCGGGCAGCUACCGCUGCGACUGUAAGCCCGGCUACCGCUUCACUUCCACGGGACAGUGCAAUGAUCGUAAUGAAUGUCAAGAAAUCCCCAACAUAUGCAGUCAUGGGCAGUGCAUUGACACGGUUGGAAGUUUUUAUUGCAUUUGCCACACUGGUUUUAAAACAAAUGCUGACCAAACCAUGUGCUUGGACAUAAAUGAAUGUGAAAGAGAUGCCUGUGGGAAUGGAACUUGCCGGAACACAAUUGGUUCCUUCAACUGCCGCUGCAAUCAUGGUUUCAUCUUGUCUCACAACAAUGACUGCAUAGAUGUUGAUGAAUGUGCAAGUGGAAACGGGAAUCUUUGCAGAAAUGGCCAAUGCAUUAAUACAGUCGGCUCUUUCCAGUGUCAGUGCAAUGAUGGCUAUGAGGUGGCUCCAGAUGGGAGGACCUGUGUGGAUAUCAAUGAAUGUCUUCUAGAACCAGGAAAAUGUGCACCAGGUACCUGUCAAAACUUGGAUGGGUCCUACAGAUGCAUUUGUCCACCUGGAUACAGUCUUCAAAAGGACAAGUGUGAAGAUAUUGAUGAGUGUGUUGAAGAGCCAGAAAUUUGUGCCCUGGGCACAUGCAGUAACACUGAAGGCAGCUUCAAAUGUCUGUGUCCAGAAGGGUUUUCCUUGUCCUCCACUGGAAGAAGGUGCCAAGAUUUGCGAAUGAGCUACUGUUACGCAAAGUUUGAAGGAGGAAAGUGUUCAUCACCCAAAUCCAGAAAUCACUCCAAGCAGGAAUGCUGCUGUGCGUUGAAGGGAGAAGGCUGGGGAGACCCCUGCGAACUGUGCCCCACUGAACCUGAUGAGGCCUUCCGCCAGAUCUGUCCUUACGGAAGUGGGAUCAUCGUGGGACCUGAUGAUUCAGCAGUUGAUAUGGAUGAAUGCAAAGAACCCGAUGUCUGUAAACAUGGGCAGUGCAUCAAUACAGAUGGCUCCUAUCGCUGCGAGUGUCCCUUUGGUUAUAUUCUAGCAGGGAACGAAUGUGUGGAUACUGAUGAAUGUUCUGUGGGCAAUCCUUGUGGAAAUGGAACGUGCAAGAAUGUGAUUGGAGGUUUCGAAUGCACCUGUGAGGAGGGAUUUGAGCCGGGUCCAAUGAUGACAUGUGAAGAUAUAAAUGAAUGUGCCCAGAAUCCUCUGCUCUGUGCCUUCCGAUGUGUGAACACUUAUGGAUCAUAUGAAUGCAAAUGUCCUGUGGGAUAUGUUCUCAGAGAAGACCGUAGGAUGUGCAGAGACGAGGAUGAGUGUGAGGAGGGAAAACAUGACUGUACUGAAAAACAAAUGGAAUGCAAGAACCUCAUUGGCACAUACAUGUGCAUCUGUGGACCCGGGUAUCAGCGGAGACCUGAUGGAGAAGGCUGUGUAGAUGAGAAUGAAUGUCAGACGAAGCCAGGGAUCUGUGAGAAUGGGCGCUGUCUCAACACCCGUGGAAGCUACACCUGCGAGUGUAAUGAUGGGUUCACUGCCAGCCCCAACCAGGACGAGUGCCUUGACGUCAUCCUUUCUCUUUUACUGCUGUCUCCAGCUUUCCCCUCUUGCUCCUUCUCACCCAGGACAAUCGGGAAGGGUACUGCUUCACAGAGGUGCUACAAAACAUGUGUCAGAUCGGCUCCAGCAACAGGAACCCCGUCACCAAAUCUGAAUGCUGCUGUGAUGGAGGGAGAGGCUGGGGUCCCCACUGUGAGAUCUGCCCUUUCCAGGGGACUGUGGCUUUCAAGAAACUUUGUCCCCAUGGCCGAGGAUUCAUGACCAACGGAGCAGAUAUCGAUGAAUGCAAGGUUAUCCAUGAUGUUUGCCGGAAUGGGGAAUGUGUCAAUGACAGAGGAUCAUAUCAUUGCAUUUGUAAAACUGGGUACACUCCAGAUAUCACUGGGACUUCCUGUGUAGAUCUGAACGAGUGCAACCAGGCUCCCAAACCCUGCAAUUUUAUCUGCAAAAACACAGAAGGGAGUUACCAGUGUUCAUGCCCGAAGGGCUACAUUCUGCAAGAGGAUGGAAGGAGCUGCAAAGAUCUUGAUGAGUGUGCCACCAAGCAGCACAACUGCCAGUUCCUCUGUGUUAACACCAUCGGUGGCUUCACGUGCAAAUGUCCUCCUGGAUUUACCCAACACCAUACGGCCUGCAUUGAUAACAACGAAUGCACCUCUGACAUCAAUCUGUGUGGGUCUAAGGGCAUUUGCCAGAACACUCCUGGAAGCUUCACCUGUGAAUGCCAGCGGGGAUUCUCACUUGAUCAGACUGGCUCCAGCUGUGAAGACGUGGACGAGUGUGAGGGCAACCACCGCUGCCAGCAUGGCUGCCAGAACAUCAUCGGGGGCUACAGGUGCAGCUGCCCCCAGGGCUACCUCCAGCACUACCAGUGGAACCAGUGUGUUGAUGAAAACGAAUGCCUCAGCACCCACAUUUGCGGAGGAGCCUCCUGUCACAACACUCUGGGGAGCUACAAGUGCAUGUGUCCCGCCGGCUUCCAGUAUGAGCAGUUCAGUGGAGGAUGCCAGGACAUCAAUGAAUGUGGCUCUUCACAGGCCCCCUGCAGCUACGGCUGUUCCAAUACUGAGGGUGGUUACCUGUGCGGCUGUCCACCUGGUUACUUCCGCAUAGGCCAAGGGCACUGUGUUUCUGGAAUGGGCAUGGGCCGAGGAAACCCAGAGCCACCUGUCAGUGGUGAGAUGGAUGACAAUUCACUCUCCCCAGAGGCUUGUUACGAGUGUAAGAUCAAUGGCUACCCCAAACGGGGCAGGAAACGGAGAAGCACAAAUGAAACUGAUGUCUCCCAUAUCGAGGAUCAGUCUGAGACAGAAGCUAAUGUGAGCCUUGCAAGUUGGGAUGUUGAGAAGACGGCCAUCUUUGCUUUCAAUAUUUCCCACAUUAGUAACAAGGUUCGAAUCCUAGAACUCCUUCCAGCUCUUACAACUCUGACAAAUCACAACAGAUACUUGAUCAAAUCUGGAAAUGAAGAUGGCUUCUUUAAAAUCAACCAAAAAGAAGGGAUCAGCUACCUCCACUUCACAAAGAAGCAGCCAGUGGCUGGAACCUAUUCAUUACAAAUCAGUAGUACUCCACUUUAUAAAAAGAAAGAACUUAACCAGCUAGAAGACAAAUAUGACAAAGACUACCUCAGUGGUGAACUGGGUGAUAAUCUGAAGAUGAAAAUCCAGAUUUUGCUUCAUUAAUUCACCAUCCAGAGACCAAAUAAUUAAAAGAAAAAUAUAGAUAGGUAGAACUAUAUUUUCCCCCAAUCAGAAUCAUCAUAUCAUAGGUACAGUCUUUCACCAAGUAAAUUUGUAUAAAUAAGCACUAUUCUUGUAUUACCAAAGCAAGGUACAGGUGACUACCCUAGUUCAAAACAACCACUUUCUCAGGCUUCUCGUGUGUGUAGCUAAGCUACCUUGUCAUAUGUGUUGAUUCUUGAAAACUGGGACAUGUAUUUCCAUUGGGGGUUGGCCAUUUAUGCUGACAUGCCAUCCUUCCAGCAAACGUACAGGAAUGUGCUUUCAAUUGAUGGACUACUCUUUUUUUUUUUUUGCAAAUUUGUAAACUUUGCUUCUCCAAAUACAAGUACUAGGUUGCCCAUUUAUGAUAUCUAUUUGGUGCUAGUCAAUUUUCAAACUAGAUUUAUAAAUGCACUGUAAUAUUUACACAACUUAGAAACCAAAUUACAAAUAUUCAGUUCCAAUACUUCAUUAAUUUCAAUCAACCAAAGUUAGUUCAGUAGCUUCUCUCAGUUAUGAGUAUAAUACAUUACAUGUAAAUUAAGUGUGUGUAUACUGUAAUCGUGCUAUUUUUUAUCAUUGAAACAUUUAUAAACUAGAAUAAUAAUGCCCUUAAUGUGAGGGUUUGUAAUGGUGCUUAUUAAGACCAAAGACUUGUUAAAUGUAUACACCAAGUGGUAAUGAAAUUUCUGUGACUGGCCCACACGUGCAUAGAGGUCUGGGAGGACCAGGAAACAGCCUCAGUGGCCAGAGGAUCACCAGUGCAUCCUUCAUCACAGCAUGUGCAAUAUGCCAAGAUUACCCUCGGUCAUUCCUGUCAACAAAGGGUCAAUGUCAUAAAUGUCACAAUAAAACAAUCUCUUCUUUUUUUUAGUUUAC